ACAGUGAAGUGGAAUGAGAAGGCUCUCAGUUUACAUGUGAGUUUGGGGGGGCACAACAGAAGACAAUGACAUGGUGUCUGUGGUAAACAACACUAAAGCCAUUGUCAGAUCUAUUGGGCAAAGAUCAUCUGAAACUAACAAAGAAUGAGACAGUGGCAUGAGUGGAAAAGAAGACAGUAUAGGAAACACAGCCCUCAACUUCAUCUUUCCACAUCACUCAGCUGUUCACUCAGCCAUUUAAACUUCUCAAGCACCUGGACUCAACAGCCUUUGCUCAUCUCAACAUGUAAAUCUGAAGAUUUCACAGUCGACAAAUUGAAGGUGGAGUGGGAAAGGGAUAACCAACCUCUAAGAAAUGUACCAACUGAAAAGAAGCUGCAGAGUGUGGAGAAGGACAAGGAGAAAACUUUCACUCUAAGCAGUGAGAUGGAGCCAAAUAUGACACAGUGGAAAAUGGGCUCAAGUUUUACAUGCAAGGCCACUCACAACAAAAAAGAAUACAAAAAAGGCAAUAAAUAUUUGUCAAAUCCAUGCAAGUACUACUCCUUCCAUUCAUGUGGAGAUUCACAGCUUCAAAACUGUAAUGAUGGCAGAAUCUGAAGUGAAAGCAACAUGUUCUGUCCACACUGUUCUUGAUGCCAAGGUGACCUGGCUGAUGGAUGAAAAGCUGCAACAAGUGCCACCGAGACGAGAAACGCAACUCAUAUAAUCAGUGAUGUGACAGUUGGAAGAAGUCAGUGGAUACAACUCAAGUUGAUAACAUGUAAAGCUGAUCAUAAGUGUUUCUCAUUCACUGAGAGAGUGAAUGUUGCUGGGCCUGUAGUUACAGCUCCAUCAGUGGAGAUCAAGAGAUCUCUCCCACAUUUGCUGAAGGGAGAAAGUGCUGUGCUCCAGUGUGACAUCACAAACCUCUCCUCCAGUGACCUCUACGUCACCUUUCAGGCCAACAAUGUUGAUAUCUCUGACAAACAGUAUGUUGAUCUUCCUGAAGCCUCAGGCCUCCAUUCAGUCACAAGACACUUCUCUGUCCCUCAAAGUCACUGGAAGAAAGACACAACUUUCACCUGCAAAGUCCAGCAAGGUUUUUCCAAAGGGACUAGGGGGUCAUACAGAGCUGCCAGGGGGGCCUUAAGAUGGCUGUGAAUGUUAACUAAACGAAUGGUCAAUCUGUAGUGCUUAAUUUGUAUAAACUAAGCAAAUAAAUAAAUUGGUCAAAAUGCAGUAUAGCAUGCAGUGGCAUGGCCGUACGCACCAUUGAGGUCCCCCAAGGGAAUGUCUUUGUCAUAUGUAGGGGGGGCCCUGGAAUUUUUCACUGGACACAGGGGGGGUUUGGCAGCAGAAAGGUUGAGAACCACUGCUCAAUACAAUGUAUAUAUACUGCAGUACCAACAUGCCUGUAUUACCCUGACUGUCCACAGGAGUGGGACAAAGCUACAGUUGUGAUUUGCCACCUUUGUAUGAAACUCUUGUUAUGUAGUAAUUUGAAGAUGCUGAAAGGUCUGAACUGCACUUACUAAAUGGUCCCAGAGAAAUCAUCAUUACCAUUUCAUCACAAGAUAUUACUGACAUGACAGUAUCAUCUUCAUGCCAUCUUCAGAGCUCACACGCACACUCUCUUUGUAGUUGUAAACAGGGUACAGUCGACAGCACCACUGAGCAAAGCCUAAUCUAGAGUCGUGUACAGAUACUUAAGUAAUUAAAUGGGGAAAAUUAAAAAAGGAAA
Molecule: non-coding RNA, 1723 nt
Organism: Lates calcarifer (barramundi perch)
Lineage: Eukaryota; Metazoa; Chordata; Actinopteri; Centropomidae
Source: the annotation of a RefSeq genome assembly